Molecule: ribosomal RNA, 425 nt
Filed under: uncultured bacterium
Lineage: Bacteria
Description: partial 16S ribosomal RNA
Rfam family: Bacterial small subunit ribosomal RNA
Source: RNAcentral
GUGGGGAAUCUUAGACAAUGGGGGAAACCCUGAUCUAGCCAUGCCGCGUGAGCGAUGAAGGCCUUAGGGUUGUAAAGCUCUUUCAGCUGGGAAGAUAAUGACGGUACCAGCAGAAGAAGCCCCGGCUAACUCCGUGCCAGCAGCCGCGGUAAUACGGAGGGGGCUAGCGUUGUUCGGAAUUACUGGGCGUAAAGCGCGCGUAGGCGGACCAGAAAGUUGGAGGUGAAACUCCAGGGCUCAACCUUGGAACUGCCUUCAAAACUCCUGGUCUGGAGUUCGAGAGAGGUGAGUGGAAUUCCGAGUGUAGAGGUGAAAUUCGUAGAUAUUCGGAGGAACACCAGUGGCGAAGGCGGCUCACUGGCUCGAUACUGACGCUGAGGUGCGAAAGCGUGGGGAGCAAACAGGAUUAGAAACCCGGGUAGUCC